AAUUUUAUGAAUAAGAUGGACAAGACAAAGUGUGUUUCUGCACCAGUGAGAAAGCAUUUUUCACAUUCCAGACUACAUUAUUGCCAAACCUUCCACGGUCCGAUGAAGCACCAAGAGCUCAACCACAGCAAGAAGCAUCAUCGCCAUGGGCAUCAACCCAUGUACCUUGAGCCAAGUGUUGGAAAUAUGUCCUAGAGGCAAUAAU
This 205-nucleotide long non-coding RNA is filed under the name Hordeum vulgare. RNAcentral's name for it is "long non-coding RNA (HVUL_LNC017908)". Lineage: Eukaryota; Viridiplantae; Streptophyta; Magnoliopsida; Poales; Poaceae. The record is from RNAcentral.